UGCCUAUUGGUCCGCAGUAUUAAGAAUUUGUUAAAGUAUCUUUGCUUUAGCAUUUGUGAAUUUCAGGUAUAAUAUGUAAUAGGACAAGAAAAAACUCUGGAAUAAAUAUAUAUCAGACUGUGAAAGGGUAUAAAGCCCAUGGAGCUAAGUGCUUCCUGUUAAGUCAACUUUUAAAACAGCUUCUCUCUGGGCAGUAAUUCACAUUUUUCAAGGGGAGAAAGGAUAGGUGAAGUUGAAUUGUUCAAAUUAAGUCAAAAUGAAUUGCUUAAUAUUCAGAGGAGUUGAUGAAUGAACCAUUAAAUCAACACUUGCAUAGCGUUUCAUUGAAAAGAAAAAUGAACAACUCUCCAUUGUGUGCUGGGCAGAAUAGGUCAGCCAGUGACGUUGCUACAUCAGUGUGCUGAACUGAGCUCCUCCUGCUACCAGAUGUGUUUGCUCGGUGACAUUCCACGGGCAUGGGAACGAGCUCUCGUGCUCUGUGAUGAGGACUUAGCAUCUGCUCUAAAUGACCGUAAUCGUCCCAGCCUCAUCUCGAAGGAGAGAGAUCUUGGUUAGGUUUCAUUUGGCAUAAAUUAACAUAAUUUUAUUGAUGCCUCAUGUUGAUGUAUAUCUGUUGGGAAUCCACUUCUGUAUUUCAAGCUGUGGUUUUGUUUUGUUUCUCCACCAAGGAAGAGCUGUAUUUUUGAAUGCCAGUUUGAGGAAGAAAUUAUACUGAUAAAUGGAAAAAUAAGGGUCAUUAUUUUGAAACAAGGCUGACAAGAUUCCUUGUAGUAAAAGCUGUUUUCAGAGCAUCACCUCUCAGCAAUACAGAGGGCGAGCCUUGCUUCCAAACCCUUUGGUUAGCCUAGGUACAACUGUUGUAAUAAUUUUCUUGCCACAGAGAAAUUACCUUUGCCUUUUCUCCUUUAAGUCCUCAGAAUUCUUGUUUUGGAAUGUAUUGAGGAUGUUGACUGUAGCCUUAUUGUGCCUUCUGGAAACUUCCAACACUUUGAAGAGUCAUGGACAGUACGCCCUUGAUGUUUUUCAGUUGCACCUCUUUGCUUUACAGUGAGACCACAGAGGAAUCAUAGCCCUCACAGGGUACAGCUCAGUUUUCUGCUUACACAUUGCUCCUGAAGAUCUGAAUUAUUCUGCAGUUUUUUCACAGAGCUUGCACUAGGGGUUUGCACAAAAUCAUUAGCUGUAUUACUGUUUCAGUAUGGGCACUGGGAAAUGCACUUUUAUCUGUUCCUGCUUACCAGUGUGCUGCAAAAGGCUUGCCUUGCAUGUACUGAAACAUGAUUAAUUUUGGGGGGGUAAUGAUGAAACUGCAGUGCUUUGAUAGGUUGAUUAUUUUAUGCUCUGCCAGAAAUGGAUACUUAAAAGGAGGUAUUAGAUCUGAAUGAGAUAUUCAAGAGCAAGUUACUGGUUUGAGUUAGCUAAUAGGGAAUAGGCCAAUCCUAUUG
Molecule: long non-coding RNA, 1445 nt
Filed under: Ficedula albicollis (Collared flycatcher)
Lineage: Eukaryota; Metazoa; Chordata; Aves; Passeriformes; Muscicapidae
Description: lncRNA (ENSFALG00000028047.1)
Source: RNAcentral